GGAUGGUCACCUGCGAACCGACUUUUUUUCCUGGUUAGUAGAGUGUGGGGUCAUCAAAGGUCGUGCGGUCAUCGAUGAACUGAAAACAGGAAAAAAACGUCAAGAAAGGCAGAAAAAAUAAAGCAUCCCUACAGCAUCCCAAGACGUGAAACCAAAAGCCCUUCCAUUCUUCUCCCUCCCUCUCUUUCUCUCCAUCUUACUCCUUCCCUCUCUCUUUCUCCACGCGGGACACAAGACGACAAGCAACACCAAAGCCUCGUACGUUGCUAUGAAAAAUCACGCCCUCGACCCGCCUGACACUUUGCACCGCGGGAACGAGCCGCCACAGGUCUCGGCGUCGACUGGGAGGAGACGUGCAGGUUCCUGCUAUGGAGACCCCAAGAUUCGACCAAUGACCUCGAGGAAGAAGAGUUGGAAGAGGAGCAGAAUGUGGGAGGAAAUAGCAAGGGAGGACGGCAGACAGAGCUUCCUAAGGGAGGGCAGCAAAUCACCUUAAAGGAUAACCAUUAAGCUGAGGCCGAGUCCUCCACCACACACAGAGGGCUUAGGCCCGUCCACACACUGGUAAACAAACACGACAAGCCUACGCUUCAACCAGCCUGCAGACCCACCGACAUACCGACCGACAGAACCAAACACAUUCGACAAUAAGAAAAUCACUCUGUAGAUGACCAUGAUUUAUUAUUUAAAAACACACGUUCAUUUAGGAAGAUUCUAAAGCUUAGCUUUUAAGGUCAGUGUGAUGUUGAAAGAGAUGUAAACGAAGAGGAAGAAAUAAAAUGAGAUAAAAGUAUAAAAAUAUAAAUGAAGACAAAGAGAGAGGGGUGUACAGCAAAGCUCAUAAAGGAAAAAAAGAAGGAAAAGGAAUUUUACAAUUAUGAGAAAAGGAGAAACGGAAAUGACGGCACGAGGGAAGGGUUGGAAGGGGAAUGUUUGCUAGAAAGAGGAGAGACAGAAAGGAAAAGGAGGGGAGAGGGCUGGAGACAGACAGAUAGAUAAAAAUAGAUAGAUAUAGAUAGAGAUAAAGAGGGAGGGGAGGUUAUGUUGUGAACUUCCCUAUUCAUCCUCUUUCCUUUCCUUCCCUUCAUUUUUCCUUUCUCUCCCUCCCUCUCUCCUCCCCCUUGAGUGGCGCCCCCUUACGCUGAGCCUCUUGUUCCCCGCCGAAGCUUAGGACUGAACACACACACACACACACACACACACACACACACACA
Molecule: long non-coding RNA, 1214 nt
Organism: Eriocheir sinensis (Chinese mitten crab)
Lineage: Eukaryota; Metazoa; Arthropoda; Malacostraca; Decapoda; Varunidae
Exons: 3
Source: RefSeq, a predicted model, not a curated record